Molecule: ribosomal RNA, 1475 nt
Filed under: Actinomyces viscosus
Lineage: Bacteria; Bacillati; Actinomycetota; Actinomycetes; Actinomycetales; Actinomycetaceae
Description: partial 16S ribosomal RNA
Rfam family: Bacterial small subunit ribosomal RNA
Source: RNAcentral
GGAGAGUUNNAUCCUGGCUCAGGACGAANGCUNGCGGCGUGCUUAACACAUGCAAGUCGGUGAAGGAGCCAGCUNNNNNNNNNNNNNNNNNNNNNGAACGGGUGAGUAACACGUGAGUAACCUGCCCCCUUCUUCUGGAUAACCGCAUGAAAGUGUGGCUAAUACGGGAUAUUCUGGGUCUGUCGCAUGGUGGGCCUGGGAAAGGUUUGNUCCGGUGGGGGAUNGGCUCGCGGCCUAUCAGCUUGUUGGUGGGGUGAUGGCCUACCAAGGCGGUGACGGGUAGCCGGCCUGAGAGGGUGGACGGUCACACUGGGACUGAGACACGGCCCNGACUCCUACGGGAGGCAGCAGUGGGGAAUAUUGCACAAUGGGCGCAAGCCUGAUGCAGCGACGCCGCGUGAGGGAUGGAGGCCUUCGGGUUGUGAACCUCUUUCGCCAGUGAAGCAGGCCUGCUCCUUGUGGGUNGGUUGACGGUAGCUGGAUAAGAAGCGCCGGCUAACUACGUGCCAGCAGCCGCGGUAAUACGUAGGGCGCGAGCGUUGUCCGGAAUUAUUGGGCGUAAAGAGCUNGUAGGCGGCUNGUNGCGUCUGUCGUGAAAUCCUCUGGCUUAACUGGGGUCNNNCGGUGGGUACGGGCCGGCUNGAGUGNGGUAGGGGAGACUGGAACUCCUGGUGUAGCGGUGGAAUGCGCAGAUAUCAGGAAGAACACCGGUGGCGAAGGCGGGUCUCUGGGCCGUUACUGACGCUGAGGAGCGAAAGCGUGGGGAGCGAACAGGAUUAGAUACCCUGGUAGUCCACGCCGUAAACGUUGGGCACUAGGUGUGGGGGGCCUAUUCACGGGUCUUCCGCGCCGUAGCUAACGCAUUAAGUGCCCCGCCUGGGGAGUACGGCCGCAAGGCUAAAACUCAAAGGAAUUGACGGGGGCCCGCACAAGCGGCGGAGCAUGCGGAUUAAUUCGAUGNAACGCGAAGAACCUUACCAAGGCUNGACAUAUGCCGGAUNGUCCUNGAGANGGGGNUUNCUNCUNUGGGGGCUNGUUCACAGGUGGUGCAUGGUUGUCGUCAGCUCGUGUCGUGAGAUGUUGGGUUNAGUCCCGCAACGAGCGCAACCCUUGUCUCGUGUUGCCAGCACGUNGUGGUGGGGACUCGCGGGAGACUGCCGGGGUCAACUCGGAGGAAGGUGGGGAUGACGUCAAAUCAUCAUGCCCCUUAUGUCUUGGGCUUCACGCAUGCUACAAUGGCCGGUACAGAGGGCUGCGAUGCUGUGAGGUGGAGCGAAUCCCUAAAAGCCGGUCUCAGUUCGGAUCGGUGUCUGCAACUCGACACCGUGAAGUUGGAGUCGCUAGUAAUCGCAGAUCAGCAACGCUGCGGUGAAUACGUUCUCGGGCCUUGUACACACCGCCCGUCAGGNCAUGAAAGUCGGCAACACCCGAAGCCNGUNGCCCANNNNUGGGGAGCGGUCGAAGGUNGGGCUNGU